CUUUAAAAAUUUCAUCCAUUUGUAUUGUUAAAAAUUAGUAUGACAUAGUUGACAAAAUAAUCAAACAAUGAUAUAUGGCGUGUCAUGUGUAUUUCAUGCUGGCAUACAUAAACUAAUUUUUAACGGUAGAAAUGGCUUGAAUUUUUAAUA
Molecule: non-coding RNA, 150 nt
Organism: Gossypium arboreum
Lineage: Eukaryota; Viridiplantae; Streptophyta; Magnoliopsida; Malvales; Malvaceae
Source: Rfam